UGGUUGCCAUUGAUAUUACUGGAGUAGAACUCUUCCCUGCUUCUCUUAUUGUCGGCAUUUGUUGUUUCUUUAAAUUGCUCCAGAAAAUUGGCUUCUCUAUAUUUGUUUAGCUCAACUUUGUCAUAUAACAAGUGGAACCCAAACCUUUUCACUUCCCACAUUCUCAUAUGGUCGGAGCACAUAUACUCAGGGUAGAGGUGGAAUGUUGCCUUAUUCUCC
RNAcentral lists this unclassified non-coding RNA (219 nucleotides) under Hevea brasiliensis (rubber tree). The record is from RNAcentral. Lineage: Eukaryota; Viridiplantae; Streptophyta; Magnoliopsida; Malpighiales; Euphorbiaceae.